UAAGGAAUAUUGGACAAUGGACGCAAGUCUGAUCCAGCCAUGCCGCGUGAAGGAUGAAUGCCCUCUGGGUUGUAAACUUCUUUUAUAGGGGAAGAAAGAUACUUUUUUUAAGGUAGUUGACGGUACCCUAUGAAUAAGCACCGGCUAACUCCGUGCCAGCAGCCGCGGUAAUACGGAGGGUGCAAGCGUUAUCCGGAUUUACUGGGUUUAAAGGGUGCGUAGGCGGGCAUGUAAGUCAGUGGUGAAAUACCGGAGCUUAACUUCGGAACUGCCGUUGAUACUAUAUGUCUUGAAUAUUGUGGAGGUAAGCGGAAUAUGUCAUGUAGCGGUGAAAUGCAUAGAUAUGACAUAGAACACCGAUUGCGGAGGCAGCUUGCUACGCAAAUAUUGACGCUGAGGCACGAAAGCGUGGGGAUCAAACA
RNAcentral lists this ribosomal RNA (422 nucleotides) under uncultured bacterium. Its description in RNAcentral is "bacterial SSU rRNA". It matches the Rfam family "Bacterial small subunit ribosomal RNA", at positions 355 to 774 of the family's 1533-position model. The record is from RNAcentral.